Non-coding RNA from Nicotiana tabacum (common tobacco), 633 nucleotides. The record is from RefSeq and is a predicted model, not a curated record. Lineage: Eukaryota; Viridiplantae; Streptophyta; Magnoliopsida; Solanales; Solanaceae.
CUAACCAAAUCCUUAACAGACCUACCAGACAAGGGAUGAAAAUGAGCAGCCCACUCUAACACAAAACCUUUAAUUGGAUCAGAAAUUUGGUAGAAUCGGUGUAUUUUGAAGAAGUAUAUAAUACUCUUUGUUGAAAUCGAGAUAUGGCUGAGACUGGACAAAAGCCUGGACGAGGACAGCUUUAUCUCGCUACACAUAGGAAUGAAAAUGGAUCAUAUGUUAAUGAGGCGGCCAAAGAGAUAUGUGAAAAAUUAAACUAGCAUUGAGCCAAAGCACCGUGGAUGAGUCUGAAAUUUCGCCAAAUAAUGUCGUUGGUAAGGUGCUGGGAAAAGAGCACUCUGGAAGGGUAAAGUGCUUGGGAUUAAGAGUUGUUCCUGGCAGAGCUUUUAGACAAACAAGACCUUGUUAUAGUGAUUUGAAUGCUUCAAGUUAUAAUAACGGUUCAUGUUCUUCCCAAUGCCAAGAGAAGUACAAUCAAAUGUUGAAUGCUCGCAAUCAAAGCCAAGAGAACUACAGAAAAAUGAUGAAUGUUAACACCUAAAUGAUGAAUGCUUUUAAGGCAUAUAUGAUAAUGAAAGAAGGGAGGAUACCUGAAGAAUUUGCAGGGAUCUUUGUUUCUCCUCCUCAUUCAAC